GGCGGGUGUGGUGGUGCACACCUGCAAUUCCAGUGACUUGAGGCUGAGGCAGGAGGAUGGCAAGUUUCAGGCCAGGCUCUCAGCAAUUUAGCGAGGCCCUAUCUCAAAAAAAAAAAAAAAAGGGUUGGGGAUGUGGCUCAGUGGUUAAACACAGCUGGGCUCAACCCCCCAGUACCAAAAGGAAAAAAAAAAUGUCAGGGGCUUGUGGUAGUACUGACCUGUAGAGGCUGAGGCAGGAGGAUCACUUAAGCCCAGGAGUUCCAGCAUGGUCUGGGCAAUAUAGUGAGAACCUGUCUCUA
RNAcentral lists this small RNA (299 nucleotides) under Marmota monax (woodchuck). The record is from RNAcentral. Lineage: Eukaryota; Metazoa; Chordata; Mammalia; Rodentia; Sciuridae.